UACGUAGGGGGCAAGCGUUGUCCGGAUUCAUUGGGCGUAAAGAGCGUGUAGGCGGCCAGGUAGGUCGGUUGUGAAAACUGGAGGCUCAACCUUCAGACGUCGACCGAAACCAUCUGGCUAGAGUCCGGGAGAGGAGAGUGGAAUUCCUGGUGUAGCGGUGAAAUGCGCAGAUAUCAGGAAGAACACCCGUGGCGAAAGCGGCCAACUGGACGAAUACUGACGCUGAGACACGAAAGCGUGGGGAGCAAACAGG
RNAcentral lists this ribosomal RNA (253 nucleotides) under uncultured bacterium. Its description in RNAcentral is "partial 16S ribosomal RNA". It matches the Rfam family "Bacterial small subunit ribosomal RNA", at positions 524 to 776 of the family's 1533-position model. The record is from RNAcentral.